Herpailurus yagouaroundi (jaguarundi) is the source of this 9313-nucleotide RNA transcript. It is a transcript of the gene named mechanistic target of rapamycin kinase, with no coding region annotated. The record is from RefSeq and is a predicted model, not a curated record. Lineage: Eukaryota; Metazoa; Chordata; Mammalia; Carnivora; Felidae. The transcript has 56 exons.
CCUCCCGCCCGGCUUAGAGGACAGCGGGGAAGGCGGGUGGUGGGGCCGGGGGCCUGAAGCGGCGGUACCCGCACAGGUGGCGGCAGCCGAGGCCUUGGCCGAAGCCGCGCGAACCUCAGGUCAAGAUGCUGGGAACCGGACCUACCACCGCCACCACAGCCACCACCACGUCCAGCAACGUGAGCGUCCUGCAGCAGUUUGCCAGCGGCCUGAAGAGCCGGAAUGAGGAGACCAGGGCCAAAGCUGCCAAGGAGCUCCAGCACUAUGUCACCAUGGAGCUUCGAGAGAUGAGUCAAGAGGAGUCUACUCGCUUCUAUGAUCAGCUGAACCAUCACAUUUUUGAACUGGUUUCCAGCUCGGAUGCCAAUGAAAGGAAAGGUGGCAUCUUGGCCAUAGCCAGCCUCAUAGGAGUGGAAGGCGGGAAUGCCACCCGUAUCGGCAGAUUUGCUAACUAUCUUCGGAACCUCCUCCCCUCUAAUGACCCAGUUGUCAUGGAGAUGGCAUCCAAGGCCAUUGGCCGCCUUGCCAUGGCAGGCGACACUUUCACAGCUGAGUAUGUGGAGUUCGAGGUGAAGCGAGCCUUGGAGUGGCUGGGCGCCGACCGCAACGAGGGCCGGAGACACGCAGCCGUUCUGGUUCUCCGCGAGCUGGCUAUCAGCGUCCCCACCUUCUUCUUCCAGCAAGUGCAGCCCUUCUUUGACACCAUUUUUGUGGCCGUGUGGGACCCCAAACAGGCCAUCCGGGAGGGAGCUGUGGCCGCCCUUCGUGCCUGUUUGAUCCUCACCACCCAGCGUGAGCCGAAGGAGAUGCAGAAGCCUCAGUGGUACAGGCACACGUUUGAAGAAGCAGAGAAGGGGUUUGAUGAGACGUUGGCCAAGGAGAAGGGCAUGAAUCGGGAUGAUCGCAUCCAUGGAGCCUUGCUGAUCCUCAACGAGUUGGUCCGAAUCAGCAGCAUGGAGGGAGAGCGCCUGAGAGAAGAAAUGGAAGAAAUCACGCAGCAGCAGCUGGUCCAUGACAAAUACUGCAAAGACCUCAUGGGCUUCGGGACGAAACCUCGCCACAUCACCCCCUUCACCAGCUUCCAGGCUGGCCAGCCCCCGCAGUCCAACGCCUUGGUGGGACUGCUGGGGUACAGCUCUCACCAAGGCCUCAUGGGCUUCGGGGCUUCCCCCAGCCCAGCGAAGUCCACGCUGGUGGAGAGCCGGUGUUGCAGAGACCUGAUGGAGGAGAAAUUCGAUCAGGUGUGCCAGUGGGUGCUGAAAUGCAGGAAUAGCAAGAACUCGCUGAUCCAAAUGACAAUCCUUAAUUUGUUGCCCCGCUUGGCUGCAUUUCGACCUUCUGCCUUCACAGAUACCCAGUACCUCCAAGAUACCAUGAACCACGUCUUGAGCUGUGUCAAGAAGGAGAAGGAACGGACAGCAGCCUUCCAAGCCCUGGGGCUCCUUUCUGUGGCUGUGAGAUCUGAGUUCAAGGUCUAUUUGCCUCGUGUGCUGGACAUCAUCCGAGCAGCCCUACCCCCAAAGGACUUUGCCCAUAAGAGACAGAAGGCAAUGCAGGUGGAUGCCACAGUGUUCACCUGCAUCAGCAUGCUGGCCCGGGCAAUGGGGCCAGGCAUCCAGCAGGAUAUCAAGGAGCUGCUGGAGCCCAUGCUGGCAGUGGGACUGAGCCCUGCCCUCACUGCUGUGCUGUACGACCUGAGCCGUCAGAUCCCACAGCUGAAGAAGGACAUCCAGGAUGGGCUACUGAAGAUGCUGUCCCUGGUCCUUAUGCACAAACCCCUCCGGCACCCGGGCAUGCCCAAGGGCCUGGCCCAUCAGCUGGCUUCCCCUGGCCUCACAGCCCUCCCUGAGGCCAGCGACGUGGGCAGCAUUACUCUUGCCCUGCGAACUCUCGGCAGCUUUGAGUUUGAAGGCCACUCUCUGACCCAGUUUGUCCGCCACUGUGCGGAUCAUUUCCUAAACAGCGAGCACAAGGAGAUCCGCAUGGAAGCCGCCCGCACCUGCUCCCGCCUGCUCACGCCCUCCGUCCACCUCAUCAGCGGGCACGCGCACGUCGUUAGCCAGACUGCGGUGCAAGUGGUGGCAGACGUGCUCAGCAAACUGCUCGUGGUCGGGAUCACAGAUCCUGACCCCGACAUCCGCUACUGCGUCUUGGCAUCUCUGGAUGAGCGCUUUGAUGCACACCUGGCCCAGGCAGAGAACUUGCAGGCCCUGUUUGUGGCCCUGAACGACCAGGUGUUUGAGAUCCGGGAGCUGGCCAUCUGCACGGUGGGCCGGCUCAGUAGCAUGAACCCGGCCUUCGUCAUGCCCUUCCUGCGCAAGAUGCUCAUCCAGAUUCUGACAGAGCUGGAGCACAGCGGCAUCGGGAGAAUCAAAGAACAGAGUGCCCGCAUGCUGGGCCACUUGGUCUCCAAUGCCCCCCGGCUCAUCCGCCCCUACAUGGAGCCCAUUCUGAAGGCUUUAAUAUUGAAACUGAAAGAUCCAGACCCUGAUCCAAACCCAGGUGUGAUCAAUAAUGUCUUGGCCACAAUAGGAGAGUUGGCUCAGGUCAGUGGCCUAGAAAUGAGGAAAUGGGUUGAUGAACUCUUUAUUAUCAUCAUGGACAUGCUCCAGGACUCCUCCCUGUUGGCCAAAAGGCAGGUGGCUCUGUGGACCCUGGGACAGUUGGUGGCCAGCACUGGCUAUGUGGUGGAGCCCUACAGGAAGUACCCCACUUUGCUUGAGGUCCUGCUGAAUUUUCUGAAGACUGAGCAGAACCAGGGUACACGGAGAGAGGCUAUCCGUGUGUUAGGACUUUUGGGGGCCCUGGAUCCCUACAAGCACAAAGUGAACAUUGGCAUGAUUGACCAGUCCCGCGACGCUUCUGCUGUUAGCCUGUCAGAAUCCAAGUCAAGUCAGGAUUCCUCUGACUACAGCACCAGCGAGAUGCUGGUCAACAUGGGCAACCUGCCCCUGGACGAGUUCUACCCCGCCGUGUCCAUGGUGGCGCUGAUGCGGAUCUUCCGGGACCAGUCCCUCUCGCACCAUCACACCAUGGUAGUCCAGGCCAUCACCUUCAUCUUCAAGUCCCUGGGCCUCAAGUGUGUGCAGUUCCUGCCCCAGGUCAUGCCCACGUUCCUCAACGUCAUUCGCGUCUGUGACGGGGCCAUCCGGGAGUUUCUGUUCCAGCAGCUGGGGAUGCUGGUGUCCUUUGUGAAGAGCCACAUCAGACCUUACAUGGAUGAAAUAGUCACCCUCAUGAGAGAAUUCUGGGUCAUGAACACCUCGAUCCAGAGCACGAUCAUUCUUCUCAUUGAGCAAAUCGUGGUAGCUCUUGGGGGCGAAUUUAAGCUCUAUCUGCCUCAGCUGAUCCCACACAUGCUACGUGUCUUCAUGCAUGACAACAGCCCAGGCCGCAUUGUCUCCAUCAAGCUGCUGGCUGCCAUCCAGCUGUUCGGCGCCAACCUGGACGACUAUUUGCACUUGCUGUUGCCUCCUAUCGUGAAGCUGUUUGAUGCCCCUGAAGUCCCCCUGCCGUCCCGCAAGGCAGCGUUAGAGACGGUAGACCGCCUCACAGAGUCCUUGGACUUCACUGACUACGCCUCCCGGAUCAUUCACCCGAUCGUUCGAACCCUGGACCAGAGCCCGGAACUGCGUCCCACCGCCAUGGACACGUUGUCUUCGCUUGUCUUUCAGCUGGGGAAGAAGUACCAAAUUUUCAUUCCAAUGGUGAAUAAAGUCCUGGUACGACACCGAAUCAACCAUCAGCGCUAUGACGUCCUCAUCUGCAGAAUCGUCAAGGGAUACACCCUUGCUGAUGAAGAAGAGGACCCUUUGAUUUACCAGCAUCGAAUGCUGAGGAGUGGCCAAGGGGAUGCGUUGGCCAGUGGGCCGGUAGAAACAGGACCCAUGAAGAAACUGCAUGUCAGCACCAUCAACCUUCAAAAGGCCUGGGGAGCCGCCAGAAGGGUGUCCAAGGACGACUGGCUAGAAUGGCUGAGGCGGCUGAGCCUGGAGCUCCUGAAGGACUCGUCUUCACCUUCCCUGCGCUCGUGCUGGGCCCUGGCUCAGGCCUACAACCCGAUGGCCAGGGAUCUUUUCAACGCCGCGUUUGUGUCCUGCUGGUCUGAACUGAACGAAGACCAGCAGGAUGAACUCAUCAGGAGCAUCGAGCUGGCCCUCACCUCGCAGGACAUCGCCGAAGUCACGCAAACUCUCUUAAACUUGGCUGAAUUCAUGGAACACAGUGACAAGGGCCCCCUGCCACUGAGAGACGACAACGGCAUCGUCCUGCUGGGCGAGAGGGCCGCCAAGUGCCGAGCAUAUGCCAAAGCACUACACUACAAAGAGCUGGAGUUCCAGAAAGGUCCCACCCCUGCCAUCCUAGAGUCUCUCAUCAGCAUUAAUAAUAAGCUACAACAGCCAGAGGCAGCUGCCGGGGUAUUAGAAUAUGCCAUGAAACACUUCGGAGAGCUGGAGAUCCAGGCCACCUGGUACGAGAAGCUGCACGAGUGGGAGGAUGCGCUCGUGGCCUACGACAAGAAGAUGGACACCAACAAGGACGACCCAGAGCUCAUGCUGGGUCGCAUGCGCUGCCUCGAGGCCUUGGGGGAAUGGGGGCAGCUCCACCAGCAGUGCUGUGAGAAGUGGACCCUGGUUAACGAUGAGACCCAAGCCAAGAUGGCCCGGAUGGCCGCUGCAGCUGCCUGGGGCUUAGGUCAGUGGGACAGCAUGGAGGAAUAUACCUGUAUGAUCCCUCGGGACACCCACGAUGGGGCAUUUUAUAGAGCUGUGCUGGCACUACAUCAGGACCUCUUCUCCUUGGCGCAACAGUGUAUCGACAAAGCCAGGGACCUGCUGGAUGCAGAGCUAACUGCUAUGGCAGGAGAGAGCUACAGUCGGGCAUAUGGGGCCAUGGUUUCUUGCCACAUGCUCUCCGAGCUGGAGGAGGUUAUCCAGUACAAACUCGUCCCCGAGCGACGGGAGAUCAUCCGCCAGAUCUGGUGGGAGAGACUGCAGGGCUGCCAGCGCAUCGUGGAGGACUGGCAGAAAAUCCUGAUGGUGCGCUCCCUCGUGGUCAGCCCCCACGAGGACAUGAGGACCUGGCUCAAGUAUGCCAGCCUGUGUGGCAAGAGUGGCAGGCUGGCUCUUGCUCAUAAGACCUUGGUGUUGCUCCUGGGAGUUGAUCCGUCUCGGCAACUUGACCAUCCUCUGCCAACAGUUCACCCUCAGGUGACCUACGCCUACAUGAAAAACAUGUGGAAGAGUGCUCGCAAGAUCGAUGCCUUCCAGCACAUGCAGCACUUUGUGCAGACCAUGCAGCAGCAGGCCCAGCACGCCAUCGCCAGCGAGGACCAGCAGCACAAGCAGGAGCUGCACAAGCUUAUGGCCAGGUGUUUCCUGAAACUCGGGGAGUGGCAGCUGAACCUGCAGGGCAUCAAUGAGAGCACCAUCCCCAAAGUGCUGCAGUACUACAGCGCCGCCACGGAGCACGACCGCGGCUGGUACAAGGCCUGGCACGCGUGGGCAGUGAUGAACUUCGAAGCUGUGCUGCAUUACAAACAUCAGAACCAAGCCCGCGACGAGAAGAAGAAGCUGCGUCACGCCAGCGGGGCCAACGUCACCAGCACGACCACUGCUGCCACCACAGCGGCCACCGCCACCGCCACGGCCACCAGCACCGAGGGCAGCAACAGCGAGAGUGAGGCCGAGAGCACCGAGAACAGCCCCACCCCGUCCCCUCUGCAGAAGAAGGUCACUGAGGAUUUGUCCAAAACCCUCUUGAUGUACACCGUCCCUGCCGUCCAGGGCUUCUUCCGUUCUAUCUCCUUGUCGCGAGGCAACAACCUCCAGGACACGCUGAGAGUCCUCACCCUGUGGUUUGAUUACGGUCACUGGCCGGACGUAAACGAAGCCUUGGUGGAGGGGGUGAAGGCGAUCCAGAUUGACACGUGGUUACAGGUCAUACCUCAGCUCAUUGCAAGAAUUGAUACGCCCAGGCCCUUGGUGGGACGCCUCAUCCACCAGCUUCUCACCGACAUUGGCCGGUACCACCCCCAGGCCCUCAUCUAUCCCCUGACCGUGGCCUCCAAGUCCACCACCACGGCCCGCCACAACGCAGCCAACAAGAUUCUGAAGAACAUGUGUGAGCACAGUAACACCCUGGUCCAGCAGGCCAUGAUGGUGAGUGAGGAACUGAUCCGCGUGGCCAUCCUCUGGCACGAGAUGUGGCACGAAGGCCUGGAAGAAGCGUCUCGUUUAUACUUUGGGGAGAGGAACGUGAAAGGCAUGUUUGAGGUGUUGGAGCCCCUGCAUGCUAUGAUGGAACGGGGCCCCCAGACUCUGAAGGAAACGUCUUUUAAUCAGGCAUAUGGGCGAGACUUAAUGGAGGCCCAAGAGUGGUGCAGGAAGUACAUGAAAUCGGGAAACGUGAAGGACCUCACUCAAGCCUGGGACCUCUACUAUCACGUGUUCAGACGAAUCUCAAAGCAGCUGCCUCAGCUCACAUCCUUAGAACUGCAGUAUGUUUCCCCCAAACUUCUGAUGUGCCGGGACCUUGAAUUGGCCGUGCCGGGAACAUACGACCCCCACCAGCCGAUCAUCCGCAUUCAGUCCAUAGCGCCGUCUCUACAGGUCAUCACCUCCAAGCAGCGGCCCCGGAAGUUGACCCUCAUGGGCAGCAACGGGCAUGAGUUUGUUUUCCUCCUGAAGGGCCACGAGGACCUGCGGCAGGACGAGCGAGUGAUGCAGCUCUUCGGCCUGGUGAACACCCUCCUGGCCAACGACCCCACGUCUCUUCGCAAGAACCUCAGCAUCCAGAGAUACGCCGUCAUCCCCUUAUCAACCAACUCGGGCCUCAUCGGCUGGGUCCCCCACUGCGACACGCUGCACGCCCUCAUCCGGGACUACAGAGAGAAAAAGAAGAUCCUUCUCAACAUCGAGCAUCGCAUCAUGUUGCGGAUGGCUCCGGACUACGACCAUCUGACGCUGAUGCAGAAGGUGGAGGUGUUCGAGCACGCCGUCAAUAACACGGCCGGGGAUGACCUGGCCAAGCUGCUAUGGCUGAAAAGCCCCAGCUCCGAGGUGUGGUUUGACCGAAGAACCAACUACACCCGCUCUUUAGCGGUCAUGUCCAUGGUCGGGUAUAUUUUGGGCCUAGGAGAUAGACACCCAUCCAACUUAAUGCUGGACCGGCUGAGCGGGAAGAUCCUGCACAUUGACUUUGGGGACUGCUUUGAGGUUGCUAUGACCAGGGAGAAAUUCCCAGAGAAGAUUCCAUUUAGACUAACCAGAAUGCUGACCAAUGCUAUGGAGGUUACUGGUCUGGAUGGCAACUAUAGAAUCACGUGCCACACAGUGAUGGAAGUGCUUCGGGAACACAAGGAUAGUGUCAUGGCCGUGCUGGAAGCCUUUGUCUAUGACCCCUUGCUGAACUGGAGGCUGAUGGACACAAAUACCAAAGGCAACAAGCGGUCCCGAACAAGGACAGAUUCCUACUCUGCUGGCCAGUCAGUAGAAAUUUUGAUCAAACUUUCCAGUCUUAAUCUAUCUGUAAACACAAUUGAAAGUAUGUCUGAAUAUUAGCCAGUAUAUGCCCUUGAACGCUGUCUGGAUUGGGAUAAUUAUUAGCUGUGUCCACGGGCCUAGAGAAUUGUUAGUAGCUUGGAAAUAGCAGCGGACGCGUAUUCACACUGUCGCCUGAGGAAAACCACAGGAAGUGUACUCACGGGAAGUGUAUUCGCACUGCGGGCUGAGGACCCAGGAAGCUACUGGAAGUGUACUCACACUGCUGUCUGAGGGGCGGGGAAGCCACAGGAAACACUGCUGUCAAGAGUGGGUCCACAGAACAGGGUCCCUGGAAGAUAAUGCCCUUCAAGAGCCAGAACGGGGUUCGUGUGAACCUCUCAAAAGUCUUAAGAGUAAAGCGGGUUAACUUUGUUUCACCUUCCCCGUCCCUCCUCCCCAGUUUCCCCCGUAACAUCUAACAACAUCCUACAUAGUCGCACCUUGGAAAUACUGUUGGGGUGUAAAAAAAGGUAAAUAUUCUCUACAAAUACCUAUGGAACAUUUGCAACUUGUUACUUAGCUAAGCCAAAUAAUGUUUAAGGGUGCAAAAAGAAUGUGACAUACAGAGAUUACCUGAAAGAAGCAUAGAAUCACAUCACAGAAUCGAUCAACAUGUAUAGUCCACGAACUGAUCAGAGAACUGUCAUUCCCCCCCCCCCCCACCCCCGCCGUGUGGUCCCGCAGCUCACGGUUUGCAGUUUGGUUCAGAGGAGAGGCUGUGGGGCUGAGAGCAAGGACCUACCACUCUGAACUGAGCAGUCGAGAAGGGAGGUCCCGGGUCAGUGCGAUUUAGGCUGGCCAUUUCAGACGAGUGGGAGGGAAGAGGGUGUUCUGGGCAGGACAUUGAGGUCCUGGGCUAUGGUGCAAUCUGUGAACCGGUGCGGACUCUACCGCGGACACUGCGACAGGAUUUGUGAAUGAUGCCAGGAUUACCUGCGGUGUCUGGGAUACUUUGUGCGGGUGACUGGUCUUGUCCAAGGUAUGUGAGACUUUCGUGCUCAGGGUCCACCUCGUUCGUACAUUAUCGCGUGACUCCUCUGUGCUGCCUACGGGGAAUUAGGACAGCUGGUUCCGGUGGCACCAGAGAGUGGUGGACCUGGCUGGUGUCAUGGGGCUUAAAAGUGAAGUUUCAUAGAAGUAUUACGACUACUCGCUUCAUUUUGAAGGCCUGUGGUGUGCAAGGGCAACGUGCAAAUAACCUCAUACUCCUGCUUCCAGACUCUUUUCUCCUGAAGGCCACAAUUGGUGGAGAGUGACCCUAAAGCCUGAGGACUUUUUCUGCCCAGAAAUGGCAUAUAGAUUCCUCCAAAGAAUAACACUCGGGUCAUGAGCGUGACCCAGGGAAGGCUCGUGUUUUUUCUAGCAUCAGAUUUUGUCGAGCCAAACAGGUCUUAUCAACAGGGCUUUCAUUCCCGCUCCUGUUCUCUACGUCAGAACAUCUUAUAAAGGCCGUUUGCUUGAAAGUUCGUGUUUGGAGACGUAAGAUCUUUCAAAUCCAUAGUGACCCUUCUUCCUCUCCUUUCCCCUCAGAGGUAGCAGGGCGAGCUUGAAAGGGGAGGUGGUGUGUGGAGAAGUAGAGCUAACACUUGAAACAGUGGUUUCUUGGUGGUGGAAUGUUCUGCCAGUCGAUUCUUUUUCCUCCUAGAAAUUUUGGACGGUGUGGAGCUUGGGGAACCCGCGCAUAAGAAAACAGGGACCACGGUGCCAGAGUCCAUUCAUUCCUUCAUUGGAGACGGUUUGGUGAAACCAGAGGCCCUAAAUAAGAAAGC